UUCCUACGGGACGCAGCAGUGGGGGAUAUUGCACAAUGGGGGGAACCCUGAUGCAGCGACGCCGCGUGGGUGAAGAAGCGCCUCGGCGCGUAAAGCCCUGUCAGCAGGGAAGAAAAUGACGGUACCUGAAGAAGAAGCCCCGGCUAACUACGUGCCAGCAGCCGCGGUAAUACGUAGGGGGGAAGCGUUAUCCGGAUUUACUGGGGGUAAAGGGGGCGCAGACGGCGAUGCAAGCCAGGAGUGAAAGCCCGGGGCCCAACCCCAGGACUGCGCUUGGAACUGCGUGGCUGGAGUGCAGCAGGGGG
RNAcentral lists this ribosomal RNA (305 nucleotides) under uncultured bacterium. RNAcentral's name for it is "partial 16S ribosomal RNA". It matches the Rfam family "Bacterial small subunit ribosomal RNA", at positions 336 to 658 of the family's 1533-position model. The record is from RNAcentral.